This 463-nucleotide ribosomal RNA is filed under the name uncultured bacterium. Its description in RNAcentral is "bacterial SSU rRNA". It matches the Rfam family "Bacterial small subunit ribosomal RNA", at positions 328 to 803 of the family's 1533-position model. The record is from RNAcentral.
GAAUUCAACUCCUACGGGAGGCAGCAGUGGGGAAUUUUGCACAAUGGGCGAAAGCCUGAUGCAGCGACGCCGCGUGCGGGAUGACGGCAUUCGGGUUGUAAACCGCUUUCAGCUCUGACGAAGCUUUUGUGACGGUAGGAGCAGAAGAAGCACCGGCUAACUACGUGCCAGCAGCCGCGGUAAUACGUAGGGUGCGAGCGUUGUCCGGAAUUAUUGGGCGUAAAGAGCUUGUAGGCGGCUUGUCGCGUCUGCUGUGAAAACCCGGGGCUUAACCCCGGGCUUGCAGUGGGUACGGGCAGGCUAGAGUGUGGUAGGGGAGACUGGAAUUCCUGGUGUAGCGGUGGAAUGCGCAGAUAUCAGGAGGAACACCGAUGGCGAAGGCAGGUCUCUGGGCCAUUACUGACGCUGAGAAGCGAAAGCGUGGGGAGCGAACAGGAUUAGAAACCCGAGUAGUCCAGGCGUU